CCAUAAAAUUUUGCCCCUAAAUAAUGCCUUUGUAUAUAUAGUAGCAUAUUAAUAUGUUAACAUGCAUGCUAUAAAAGCUUUUACAAAUAAUAAAAAAUAAUUUGUGCACAAGAGGGGGCAAAAAAUAUAAGGGUUAAUUUUCAUAUAGGUCCUUAUAAAUAUUAUGAACGAUAAAUAUAUUUCGACAGAGUUUAACUUUUAUUUGUUGUCGCUACAAAAGUCCUAAUGUCUUUAAAUAUACCCAUGCUGUUAGAAUCCGUUAGUAAAUUUUGGUUAAUUAUAAGUUAAAUAUUUAAUUAUCCUGAUUAGUUUUUGAUAUUUUUAUUCUUCUUAUACUAUACUAUUGUGACUUUUAGAGGGAUAUAUUUGUGGUGACAAAAUUGAAAAUAUAAAUGAUUUUCUAACGGUAUAAAUAAGAGAGACGUAUUUGACAAUAUUAAAACUUUUAUCGAAAUAAUAUAUGAAAGUUAAAUUUUGUAGAAAUAUAUUUGUCAUUUACUAUAUUCACAGAGAUCUGUAUGAAAUUAACCCAAAAUAAAAAUUAAGAAAUUUGUACUAAAAUGUUGAUUGGAUACUUAUAUUAUCUUUAAAUUAUUUUUUGAACAAAACAAACAAAUUUAUAGAAAAAAUAUAUUACUCAAUCAAAUCAUAAAUAACAAAACUUUUGAAUGAAUAAAAAAUUAAAUUUCUCACAACAAUAUUAGAAAAAAAAAGUUAUACAAGAUAAAUUAGGUUUAAAUUAAUUUAUUAUAAUAUUCAAAUAAGAUCUAAAAAUGUAUCAAAAAUUUACUUGUGGUUGUGAUUCGUCUGCAAUAAAAUAAUAAUAAAUAAAUAAAAAUUUUAAAAAAUAAAAAUUAAUUUAUUCAGAAUCAGCCCCAACCUACCAAGAAGGCGGCGAGAUACAGGAGGUGGUGAACCCCUUGCUUUCCCAGGUCGUAAGGCGGUGCAAGGAACUUUGACAGUUUGACGUGAUUAAAAGAGGGCCACCGAUCGACCGACGCGUGUCCCACGGGGCUCCCAUACUACGAUUCUACGAACUCCCCCGAGGCGCCACGUGUCCAAAUCCAAGAACGCCUCUUUUUUUUUUUUCGCCUGCGUUCUCCACUUCUCCUCCCCCGACCCUCCCUGCGAAGGAAAAAUUUUAGAAUACAACAGAUACAUUAAUUACGUGGCAUAAUAAAUUAAUUAAAUAUUUUUUUUUAGGUAUAUAUUUCAUUAUAAUUGUAAAAAAAUAUUUUUAUUAUAUUUUUAUUUAAAAAAAAAUAUGUUAUUAAUCUGUUAUUAAUGAUGUGAUGUAAGUAUGACAGUAUAAAAUUUCUCCUGCGAAACCCUUUUCUUCGUUUCUCUCGUCUCUAUUUCGACACGUCCUUUUUUACGUCUGCGGCAGAGCAGAGCAGAGCAGAACCCCCUUCGAUCUGUUGUGACAUGCCGUGCAUUAUUAUUAUUAUAAAUUGUUAUUAUUAUUGUGUUGUAUUGAAGCUCCAACUACUACACGUCCUGGCCUGUCACGGUGCCUUGUUUCCCCUGCUUCGAUUCCAAGUUAGUGUGGUCUUAUAACGUAAACGAGAUGGAGACGGGACGGGACAAGACCCACAUUCGCCCUUUCUUGCAUUGUUUUCCUCUUCUUUUUUUUUUUGAACAGCUCCAACACUCUCGUAUUUGAUUGAUUGAUAUUGACCGAUAACAAAUUUUUAUAUAUCAAACAUAUUAAAAAUUAAGGUUGAUUACACCGGUAAUAACCAAUCUUUCCACUAAUUUUUUCUUGGUUCCCAACUUUUUUUUUUUUUGCAAUUGAGUCCUUAAUCUCUUGAUUUUAUUACAAUUAAGUCUCAACUGUUAAAAAUUAAAUAUAAAAUCAAAUUUUGAAUUCGAAUUUAAAUAUAAAUUUUAAAUCUUAAAUUAAAAAUCUUAUUUUGAAUUUAUAAAUUUAAUAGAUUAAUUACACUACUGGUCCCCAACCUUGCACGAUUUUUUAAUUUGUUCUCCAAUCUUUUUUUUUUUUUACAAUCCACUGACACAACGCCAUCGUGGCGCUAACAUGGCACCUCCGUAGCGCUGAUAUGAUACUGACGUGGCAUUUUCCGUCAAUUUUAACACCUAUCUAACGGAUAGGACUUAAUUGAAAUAAAAUCAAUAGAUUAGAGACUCAAUUGCAAAAAAAAAAAAGGUUGAGGACCCAAGUGAAACUUUGUGGAAAGGUUGGGGACUACUGGUGUAAUUAACAACCCUGAAAAUUAAGAAUAGCUAAGACUAUAAUCUUUAUUUUAAUUAGAGAAAUGCUAAGUCUAUAACUUAAAGAGGUUGCAUUAAUUAACCUUUACAACUCCUGGCUAAUCUAAUAAUAACUUUUAUAAGGUUUAACCAAUUCGAUCGAGCUAGCAUGUAUUGUGCUUUUAAUUGAUUAUCGGUGUAAAUAAAUUCCAAAUAUAGAAAGCCAAACUCCUUUUUUCUUGGUGUUUAAUUAAUUGCUUGUAGCUUUUGCAUACCAUCUAACUACCCUGCAGCUGUAUUUGUUUAACGACUCCGAUCGAGUAUGUGUGGGUUGUGGAGUGUUGAAGCACGCACGCGAAUCAGAGAAAAGAAAGAAAGAGUGACUUGUGGGGCUAGUUAAAGGGGAAGCGUGCCUUGCAAUGUUGCUGUGCUUGACUAGUAUGUUUUGUGUCUACACUGCGUUGUUUAACGACUCCGAUCGAGUAUGUGUGGGUUGUGGAGUGUUGAAGCACGCACGCGAAUCAGAGAAAAGAAAGAAAGAGUGACUUGUGGGGCUAGUUAAAGGGGAAGCGUGCCUUGCAAUGUUGCUGUGCUUGACUAGUAUGUUUGUGUCUACACUGCGUUGUCAACCUCUAAGAGCUUUUCACCUAACCAAAAUAGAUAGAAACCAAUUAUAUGUUUUGAAUCGAAAGGUGCAUUCGCAUCACUAUAGGAGACGUUAAUGCAUGACAUGACAAAGUGCAAAUCGUUAAGUGGUAGGUUCAUGAAAACUCUAGCUCGGGUUGACUUUGUUUGUCGCUGCCACAGUAGUAUAUAUUAUAUUAUUAUUAUUAUUACGUACAAUAUAUAUUAUUAUUAUUAUUACGUACAACAAGUUGCAAGAUCUAGUCCCCACUUUAGAUAUUCGACACGUUUCCAGUGUACUUUCUAGUGAUGCACACUAAUAAUGCUAGCAUUGGACGUACAUUUGAGUUACCAUAUACUCAAGAGACAUAGUUUCAUUUGAAAAUAUGUACAUACAGUUGGUGCCUCUCCAUCCAAAUUUAUAUUAGUGCGUGCCCUAACAACCACAUGCAUGCAAUAGUUUUAUGUUUGAUUUUUAACCUUGUGAAGAAGCAAACAUAAAAGUAGCUAGGAAGCACACGCAACUGGCCUGGCCCAUUAUAUAUAUACCUUUUAAAUAAAGUAAUAAUAUUGAUUAUUUUAUGUGUAUCGUUUGAGAUUCUAUGCUAAAAAUAACAAGGGAAUCGCAAGAGAAACAAGGCAUGAGAUUCUCAAAGCCUAUAAUCUCUCAUUCAUUUCUUUAUUGUUACUUUUUCACCAAAUUCAAUACUUUUAUUGCUAAUAGAAAAUAUUAAUUAAUUUUCCGGGGAACCGCACCAGAUGUUGCGAUUAUUGUUAGAUUAAGCGUAGAUUGCGACUCGAUUAACAAGCUCAUCUUUGUAAUUGACGCAGCUAACACAACCGUGCAUGCACAUGUAUUAAAAAAGUCAUCUUUAUUCACGUUUGAUUAUACUUAUCAAACCUGAUCAAAUUUAGUUAGUAAAAUAAUAAAUAAACUCAAUAGCUAUACAUAAUAAUAGUAAAAUUAGCUUCAUUAAUAAUUUUAUUGGAGAGAAAAAUUAUUGCUCUUAGAUAAAUAUUCCAAAUUCAGACCGGCUCAACUCGAAACAAACCGGUGUUUAAAAAUCCGACUCCGGUCUAACAUAAAAGGGGGUUUUUGCCUCUGCCGGACACGUGGCAGCAUCAAAGCCAACGACUGGUUGUUGGGGGUUGAGUGGGGGCCCACUACGGGGCUUGGUUUUGGGCGCCCAUAACCCAUUGGAUCGCGCUGGGGCCCACAACUUGUUUUGGUCUGGUCAACCUCAACCGAUUUAACUGCCGAAUCGAUGGUUCGCACUUAUCCGAGUCACACUGUGGGCCCCACUGCACCACUUAGAUUCGCGUGGGUCCCUUCCUACUGGGGAUAUAGAUAGGUUGCACGGUAGAGAGAUUCCCUACAACUUAGAUUGGAAUAAAAUAUUGCAACUGAGUUUGGAACACAUAUCAAAAUAUUUUUUUAUCAUAAUAAUAGAGUUUGUAUCCUGAAAAAUAAUUUUCAUUGGCACUGUAAUUUACUUUAUCUUCCCCGGAACUAAAAUUUUUGAAUCAUUUUUUGUUAUAUCAUAUUAGUGAUUAACACCAUGCGCAUUACAAACGUCAAUCCUAAAUUUGGGUUAUUUCGCAUUGUCACUAUUGACUUAAAUGGACCAGUAUCCUGCCCUACGGAGAGUAGCUAUGUGGGUUGAAUCAUAUUCGAAAUGAUAAGGCUGGGUUGGGCCAAGUCAUGUUCGAAGUAGCGUGAGCCUGAUUAUGCAGAGUCACAAUCGAGACUCGUAAACAUUGUAUCUGUACGUUUUAAGUGAAUUAGUUGCGUAUUUCUAACAGCUCGAGUUUUUGAGAUUAAUGGUUAGCGUCAACGAUCUGACAGUCACCACAUAGUAGCUGAUCGAAAGAAACUUUUCUAUGCCUGACAAAAAAUAAUUUGAAUAUAUAUAAAAGAGCAAGAAGGCUCUUUUUAUUAUUUUUUGGGAUGUAUUAUAAUGGUAAAAAACUCCCAUAAAUUUGAGCCCCUAGUUCAAUUACUAAAUACAUUGAAAACUGUAUUAAUUACAUUUUCGUAUUUUAUCAUUAUUUUAACUAAAUUUGAAAUUUUAAAAUAAGUAUUAAAUUUAGCUGAAAAAUUUUAUAAACAUAAAUUGGUAGAUAAAAUUAGUUAUAAUUAAUACAGAAAAAUUACAUAAAUUUAAUAGAAUUAUUAAAUUAAUUAUUAAUUUGAACAGUAUUAGCAAAUAUCUCUUUUCUCUAAUUCUUUUAUCUAUUUUUUGAGGUUACAAAGUAAAUAGAUAUCGAGAUAUAGAUCGGUAUUAUAUGCCAAUCUUUUUUUUUUUUUUUGAGAAAAGAUAACAAAGCUACCUGCUUCAUUCAUUAAGCAAAAUGAACUGGACGUACAUGUUGGAAGCAACUAAGGCCUCCUGAAGUAACCAGAAGAAAAACAAAAAGAAGAUAUGGCAAUCUAUUUUAGUAAAAAUUUUGCAACAUCAUCAUAAACUUUGGUAUAUAUUUAAAGCAAUAAUAAAACUUAAGAAGGUAAUUUAUGUAAUUUUAAAUAUAAGUUGGUUAACAAAGAUGGUUAAUUAGGCCAUUAGACCAAUUGAGGUUCGACGCAGUCAUAUUUGUUUGUAUAUAUAUUUUGAGUCAAAAUCAGUGUCGGGUUAAGGCGUACUUUAAUUCGGGCCCCACCGGGAUAGAGUGUCCGGUUCCUGCAGUCACGUCGCCACGUCGGAUGGGCCCCACGUUCUUGUUCCCGCCUCACGUGUCGCGUUAUACGGAUGACUCAUCACGGGGCCCUCCACCGUUGCUUGCAACGUUUAUCAAUUAUCAAUUAUAAUAAUUUUAUAUUAAAUAAAAAAACUCACAAAAAAAUGAGAUGAUUUUAUUAUUUACCCUUUUUCGCAACAUUUUAUUUUUCCCAUUUUCUUUCUUAUGUUUUAAUUUUUUUUGGCGUUUAAUAUUAUAAUUUUAAAUGUCAUGAACACGGCCUAGGAUUUAAUGAACAUCAACUACUUUCCUAGUAGUUAAAUGCAUGCUAACAUAUGACAAUCUCGAAAAUAUUCUUGUAUUAUGGCCCCUCCGCACAAAAAAAAGAAAAAAGAAGCCCUUUUUAUCUUCACGAAUCUCCACACUGUAGAUCAAUUGCCAGUUGCCAAGUUGAGGACACGGAUAAUUAGUGAGGAAUCGCAUUAAUUAGUGUGAAUAUUAAUUUGGUUAUAAAGCCUACGAAUACCUCUUAAUUACUAGUCUUUAGAAUGCAUUAUGUUUGAAAUAAUCAAGGAUUCUCAAACUAGUAACCUAAAGGUAGAUUCAGCUGAGUUUCUAUAACCAAAGAAACAGAGCACUAUAUACAUGGACCAAAAAUUUUUCAUAAAGUCCAAGAAUUAACUUGGAAUUUUACACCAAGCUUUUAAAUUUUCAGCAAUGGAGGAGGUAAAGUAACAACCUAAGUAAAAUAGGAAGAUACCUACAUAUUACUACAAAGUUGUCAGAUGCUGUAUGUUAAGCAUAGGAGGAGGUAAAAUGAUGCAGCAUUGGGGAAUAUAAAAAGUUAGGAUAAAGACAUCUAAAGUGAACUACUAAUUAACAUGCUAGAAAAUCAAAGUAGCAUCCUUGGUACACUUUUUUUGUUUUUGUUUUUUUUGUAGUUGAGCAAAUGAUAGGGUACUGAAACAUUUGUGAGGCUUCUCUCCAUCUUUGGUUGGGGCCCUAUCACCAUCAAAUGCGUGCACCAAGCAAAUGGGCUUUUGUCCAAUCAACUAUUCCAAUGGGCCUAUCUUGGGUCCCACCUAAUCCCAACAACUCCCUUUUUAAGUGCUAAAUGUAUAUAAAUAUAUUCCAAUAACACCACCCCCUAUAAGCUAAUGUAUAACUUCUCUCUCAACACCUAUUUCUUAUUAAUCCAAAAAACUUUUCUUAGUAUUCAUAAUUUGUAUACAUAGGUUUUUUUUAUGUAUUGUCAAUUAUAUUUACUGUAUCAGAUUGCGACUUUAAAAUAUUGAUCGUGAAAUAUUAGAUACAGUAGAUGAGAUGUACGGAUACACCAGGUGCGAGCACUAGUUUCUCCACGUACAUUCUCUCAUUAGUGGCACUUAGAAUAAGAAAAGUGGUCCGCCAAAUUCUUAGGCUCAACACAAUCUAGAUUGUAGGGUUAUCUUGUAGCUAAUAUAUCCCCCCAUUCCCCUAUAUAUAUAUCAAAUCAGAUAUUCAGAGCUCUUUAGCUUUUGUUAUCUUGCGAUCAGCACGCGGAGAUUUAAUUGUAGGUUACAAUGUUUCUUCUCCUUUCAAGUCCCACAAUCUAUUAUUUUUGUUAUCGCCGCCGACUCCUCUUUUUAGUACUGUGCUUGAUAAGAUUUGCUGAGCUCUGAGGAUGCCUUAGAAGUCCUUUUGCUCGCGUCACAUGUCCAUCUUAUCAAAACAUCACAAUGAAAAUGUACAGAUGCAAUGUAUAGAUGCAAGCACGUCUGAUUCGGAUCAGAUUCAUUGGGCAUUUGAAUUAAUUCGAUGAGUCGUGUGGUACCAUUAAUUAUUCUAAGCUAACUCAACCUGAAUCGAUCUCGUGUUAAGCUUUUCAUCAUGAGCUCACAUUUUGAAUAUAUAUAUUUCAUUACGUUAAUGAACCAUAUCCGAUCUAAAUGACGGAUCGAUCAAAUCCUAACCCACCGGACAACAACGAGUUCGAUUUUAGUGAUCCAAAACUAGCAUAGUAAUGAUAUAUAUAAUCCAACAACGUGAAUCGCAUGGAGAUUUGAUUUGAUCCAUAAAGGCACCUCAUAUCGGUGUAGAGAUCAUAGAGCUAAUCAUGCCAAUGUAGGAAGAUUAUUAGAUGCCUAAGAGGUAGGCCUAGCUAAUAUUAUGUGAGCGUAAUGUGGCAAUUAGCAAUAUACAUGCAUGUAUACAGUAACUACUAGUAGGAGAAAGAGCAUAUAAUCUCCCCUUUUUGAUGCGUUAGUGUGCAGUAUAUAUACGUCCUUAAGGUUUUGUUUCUGUACGCGAAAGCUUAUCAAUUAUAAGGGCAGAGUUGGUAUAUAAGGUUUUACCAUAGUCGGAGCUCUACGUACGUGUAUUUAGUAUAUUUUGCAAGAAGCAUUUUAUAUAAGACUAGUUCUUGGUUGCAGCAAUAUCUUCUUCUCGGGGGAAGGUUAAAGUAUACUUAACAAUUUUGCAUCUAUAGUAAAAAAAAAUAAUAAUAAAAAAAUAACCUUGUUAAUUACUGGAACUUUCUACAGAAUAAAGGCCAAUGGAGGAAUUUUCUACAACUUGCAUGAGAUGAUCAUUGCCCCCGUAGGAAGUAUCGGAUCUUGGCCCAUGCAUGAUUUGUGGUCAUAACUGCAUUAUGGGAGAGCGAGGGGCCGGUUUUACUUUAUUCCAUAUUCGCAAGGACGAUCAAUAAUGUAACUAUAUAUUUGCAUAUGUACCCUAAUAAAAAUUUAAUAUUUUAUUUAUAUUUUUAGGAAUAACGCUUACUAACCUUACAAAGAUAUGAAUCUUCAAAUUCCAUGGUUCGCAUACUUUUAACACAUCGUAAAUUGGUUUUUUUUUUUUUUAGAGAUAGGUAGCAAGCUAUCCGCUUCAUUUAUUUCAUUUAGAAAUAAACUUAGCAGAAAUAUGAAUCAACUAGGAUUCAAACUUAGGUCUCGGGUAUCAACCACCAAGCCUUUUGCCACUCGCUCUAGGGACGGUCGGUCCACAUCAUAAAUUGUUAGUGGGUAUAGCAUACUAGCAGAAACUCAAAUUCUUCCAUAUAUAUAUAUAUAUAUAUAUAUAUAUAUAGAGAGAGAGAGAGAGAGAGAGAGAGAGAGAGAGAGAGAGAUAGCACGGAGCACUUGGUGCUACCAAGUUUUCCUCCGUUAGAUCUACCCUUUUGAUCAUUUUCACCCGUUAGAUCAUGCUAUUCAACCAACAUGCACCCACUUAACUCUAGAGGGUCUACAUCAUACUAACCAUACAUCUCUUAAUUCAAUGGCCAAAAACUUGGUAGCACCAAUAACUUGGUGCUAUUAAUAUAUAUAUAUAUAUAUAUAUGUAUAUAUAUAUAUAUAUGUGUGUGUGUGUGUGUGAGUGCAGAGCUACUGUGUUAUUAGAAGCACAACAAUCCUUGUGCUCUUAAAUUUCUAACUAUCCAUCAAUUUUGAUGGGUGGUUAGGAUUAGAGAGAGAAAAAAAAAUUGAGGAGAAAUUGAAUAUCUUAAUUUCUCUUUUUUUUAAAUUUCGAUUAAAUUUCUCUUCUCUUCUCUCUCUAAUCCUAAUCACCCAUCAAAAUUGAUAAAUGGUUAGAAAGUUAGGAUUAUAAAAACUGAUGUGCUCCUAAUAGUAUAGUAGCCCUGCUCUCUCUCUCUCUCUCUAUAUAUAUAUAUAUAAUCUGUUUAUAGUUUAGAGGGUGCUCCACUCAUUUUUUUUUUUGUGUUAAAAAAACUGUUUAAAAUAUUAUUUUUGUAACUACAAGAAUAUAUACCAAAGAAAUUUUACUUCCUAAAGAAUAUAUGAAACUGUGUUCUAUAUGAAUAAAUAUAACAAAAACCGCGGGACAAUUGAUGGAUGGUGAGAUUCCUUAUAUAUAAUCAUAUGAAAUGGAUUCUUCCCUGAGCUUCUUCGCUUUUUAUGUUUUUAUUUUUUUUACAUAAAAACUUGUGACAAUUCUUUGAUAAAUAAAGUGUAAUUAUAUCUACCUCAACUUUAGGUCCAAAAAAAAAAAUGCAGCUUAUUUAUCAGUACGAUUUGCUUUAGUAGUAGGUUAACCAAAUGCGACAUCAAGCGUGAGGAGAUUUUGUUUUAUUUAUAUAUAUUGUUUGUAUUAAUGAGAUUGCGCAUUUGGAGCAGGGAAAGCAUCUAUAUAUUACAAAGCUGCUCCUAGGCCAAGCAAAGUUCUCUCUUUCACAGUCUAGUCCUUUGAAAUUUCUCAUUUUACAGGGCUUCUUUAAUAAGAACUAGAGAACGCUAACUAAUUUUCCUGGUUAAUUAUAAAAUUAAUUUCUCAAAUACGGGCAUAAUUUAAAUGUCAUAUUUAAACUUUUAACAAAAUAAUUUAGUUUCUGAAAUUUGUCUUGAAUAAUAGCUAAGUUCUUCAUGUUAAUGUAUCUAUUUUGGCAAUAUUUUAAAAAGGGAUAAUUGUCUAUAUACCAUUCAAAAUUUCAAAAAUAUCUCAUUUAUUUUUAGUUUUUUUUUUCUUUUCAAUAUACCCCUUAUUUGUUUUUUCGUUAUUCCAAAGUAGCUCUACAGUUACUUCCUGUUAAGUUAACUUAGAUUAAACAUGAGUUAAAUAUCUACUAAAUUUUAAAAAAAAUAAAAUACCUCUUUUAUCGAGAAAUUUUGGUGAUAGUAGAAGGAUAUAUUUGAAAAGAUCAAAAAUCAAAAUAUUUCUUGUGUCCCUAACUUAAGGGCAAAUAAGAAAAGUCAGUGAUAGUAGAAAGGUAUAUUUGAAAGGGCAAAAUAAUAAUUUUAUACAGAUAACAACUAUUGCUAAUCGUUUAUUAAUAGAAUUUAACUUUAGGGGUAUAUUUGAAAUAUGUUGGAACGUAAAAAAAGUAUUUUCAAUAUUAACCUCCUAAAAUAGAUAAAUCGGAAACUCGAAAUUUUUCAAUGAUAUAUAUAAGCAAUUGCACCUAUUAAAAAUUGCUAUGAAUAUAUCAGUUUCCAUGUAAAAAGGCGUCACUUCGAAGGUUGAAACUCUAGUGAAAAUUUUAAUUCUGGUGAAACCUAAGGAACAAAAUGAAAAUUCUGAUCAAAUUACAAAACUAAAUUUUUACUCGCUCUAAUUUAUUUCGUGUCCUUAAACUUAUUCUUCGAUAAACUAUCCAUGCGUGUGUGACAUUUUAGUUUUCUCAUAUAUACAGAAACGAAAGCACAGAUUUAAUUGGGAAUCAAACUCUUUCCAGAGAAACUCAUCUUAACUAAUACAUGCAUGGAAAUGACUGAGAGACACAUUAUUGUCUAUUUGAGAGGACUAGAAAUGAGUGAGAUAUAUAUAAGUGAUCCAAGAGAACUUGAUGUAAGUGACAAAAAAAUGCAAACACACUUGUGCUAUUAUCAAGAACCUAAUUAGGAAACCUCAGAUAUUCCAUUUGCACAGAUUGCAUGUUAUUGCAUGUAAAAUAUAUUUUGUUACAUCACUAACUUUUCAUUAAGAUCAAGAUUUAAGUAUGAUUAUUGUUUAUGCGAAUUAAUUACCACAACCACCGGGCCCACCGUAAGUAAAACGAUCUGGAUCAAACUCUGCGAGGUUAUAACAAUGGGGAUUGUCCACAUAAUAGGCCGGAGGUUUUUUAUUAACAAAGAAACCACCAUCUUUAUUGAUAUAUGCGGUAUUUUUAAAGUACGCUGCUUUACUAUCUGUUGGAAAAUAACCGCUACCCAUUGGAGGGCUUACGCUGCUCUUUUGAAAGGAUACAUGUCCGCCAAAAUCAACUCGAGUUGCUUCAUCAGCUAAAGAAGUAAAGAGAGACUUUGGCCAAUAUCCUACGGGAAUGGCAUUGUCACCGUGUACAUGCUGGAGCCACCAAUCUCCAGUUGAUUGACCCUGCAAUGAGAUAAUUAAGCAUUACAUAUGUUGCUUAAUUUGAAACAUACUUAGCAUCAAUAUGAAUCAACUUUAAAUUCUAUUAUAUAUAUGCUUUUUGGUGCAUAUUUUCUAGUGAAAAUUUCUUAAAUAAAAUGAAAAUAAUAAAGGUACAUACUUGGCUAAUAAAUAGCCUUUUUUCACCUUAAAAAUUCUUAUAGAUAUCUCAUACUGCGGUCCACCGGGAGUGGAAACUGGUUGUAAAACUGUUCCAGGAACAAGAUCGGAACUGUUUGUUAAUACGAAACCUUGGCAUUUAAGAUUGAAGCAUCCUGUUGAAAUGUAGCCAUCCGCCUGUAUUUUUCAAACAAUGGUAUAUAUUAUGCAACAACUUUUACUUCACUUACGAGAAGAGAGAGACAAGAGAUGUUAUAAUAAAUAUAUACCGUCCAAGCUAUGAAAAAGUGAGUCGCGGUAUCCCCAUAUUCUUCAGGAAACACCUGCAUAGAAAAGAAAUAGAUAAAUGUUUACGUCUAUGAUCAAAGAGAUUGUACAAUCUCUACAACCUUUUAUCCAAGAAUUAUAAGAUUUGUCAAUCCCCUUUAAAUUUUUAGUAGUAAUAAAAAAAAGUGAUAAAAUAAGUAGAAAGAAUGUGGCAUUUUGAUGGGGAGAAAUUGUAGGAUUAUAACCCAUAUAUAUAUAGUGGGUUAUAGACCAAGCGCGCACUCAAAGAAAUAGACCUUUAACAACCGUAGUAAGGCUAAGACGAUAAAAUAUUUUUUACGUAAAUUCAAUGGUAACUUCACCUGCAUAAUUCCUAAGAUAUGUUAAUCAUUAACUUGUGAUCUUUUAACACUACCAAAUAACUUUAGCACUAAAAUCCUGAUUUAUUUGAUGCAACUAAAUGUAUCUUGAAUUUGACAUAGAAACCCAGAUUUUAAGCCCAAUAUUGCAUCCACAACUAAGCCUAAAAAAAAUUUGCAAAAGGUCUCAGGCCCACUAUAAAAGCUCAUUGGACAACCCCAUCUAAAGCCCAUUGGAGUACCAAAAAUAAAUAGAAAAAAGGAAAUUAAAGCGCACAAAUAAUAAAGCAUUUGAUCAUCUCUAAACCAAAAACGUCUCAAGCUAUUCAUAGCAAUUAGGAAUUAAACCACCAGAGUUGCCGAAGAACUAAAGCUGCAACCUUAGAAUAGCACAAAAUAAUAAUUUUGUAAAGAAUACGAUGUACUUCAACUAUGAAAAGUAAGUUGUUUUUUCUUAUCAUAAAAAUCAAAUGUAGAUCAUCGACGACGCAAAAAAAAAAAAAAGUUUUAUCAGCGUGCUUAAAACAAGAAGUAAGAAAUCAAAUAUGACAGCAUCUAACUUACAUGCCAUCCAGCUUGGAUCACAUUAAGUUGAUUACGAGGGCCGUCUGCACCGUUUGCGAUCCAAAUCCCGGUUGCGGUACUCUUGCCGGCUUCCAGAUUAGGAAAGCCAUAAACAACUAGUGUUGAUUUGGCACCAUAAUACGCCUUGGAUGUCCCUGUCCCGCUUUGAUAUUCUGCCCACUAUAAUAAAAAAAAAUAGAAGAGUUUUAUGUUCUGUCAAUGAAAAUAUCUCAAAAAACUAUAGAGAAAAAUUUUAACUAAUUUUAUUGUGGUUUAACGCAUUUUUACUGUGCCGCCAUGUGGUUUGAAAAUUUUCAAAUUGCACGCAACCUUAUGUUUUUUUUUUUAGUUUAUUUUAAGAACUUACAUUUAAAUUGGAUAAGAAAUUUAAUAUAAUUUACAAUCUACGAGAUUAAUGCAAGUGUUAUUUGAUUGACAUAGUUCAUUAUUGCAUAGAUAAAAAUCAUCGCAUACGUGCAUUUCGGUUUUCUUUAAUAAUUUCAAACACGAACCGGUCGUACUUAACAUAGCUGGUUAAAUAAGGGUUGAUAGUUUGUAACUAUGAUCCCAAGUUUGAAACGUUAUUUUUUUUUUAGAGAGAAAGGUAGCGCGCUACCCGCAUCAUUCAGUAAAAAAGUGAAGUAAGCUAUAUGGGUGGGGUAGCAAGGGCCUCGACAAGUGGCGCGGAAAAAAAAAAAAAGGGUGAGGAAGUGAAUUAAGCUACAUGAGUGACUAAACGUUAACAAUUCGGUCACUCCUCUGGACUAAGUUUUUUCUACAAGUCCGUCAGCUACUUAAUCUUGUAGAUACCGACUGUUGGGUCAGUCUGGGUCAUCCUGAAGAUCGCUCUAUUCCUGAAGUCCCAAAUGACCCACCAGCAGGCUAUAAGUCCUAUAAGACCGGUUGAGGUCGGCUGUGUUUGCUUUCUUCCUGCCCAUCUAUCCCAGACCAAAUGCACAUCAUCUCCCAGAUCUCCCAGUUGGGUAUUCUCUUGGGUCAUCGCCAUAAGAAAUCUAGUAAUUACACACUGAAUGAAUAGGUGGUCAACUGUUUCCCCUUCCAGUCCACACAGCAUGCAUUUCGUGUUGCCACUCCAUCCCCUUUUUACCAAAUUGUCAGCUGUAAACGGUCUCUUCUUUUGAACAAGCCAACUGAACACUUUCACUUUUAGAGGUAAACGCAAAGACCAGAUCCUGCCCAUACGAGCAUCCCUUGUGCCUCCGUCACAUAGUGUUGAAUAAGUUGACUUCACGAUAAAGCGUCUGUCGGUGCUCCAACGCCAAUGUGUGCUAUCCUGUCCCUGGAUAGUUGGAACAUUGGAGAUCCUGUCCUUAAGAGCAGUAGUGCUUGAGUUCGUGUUGUGAUUAACAUAAAUGUCGCCACUCAAAAUCGUAUCACAGCACCAACCAUUGCUACUCAAACAAUCACUGAUUUUCAAGUUUUUACGAGGUGAUAGGUGGAAUAUCUCGGGGAACUACAAACGUAGCGUUGUUUCCCUACUCCAAUGGUCAUCCCAAAAGUCGAUAUUACGCUUGUUACCCAGCUUAUAAAAUGCUUCCCAUUUAUAGAUUUCUUUUAGGCUUAGUACUCCCUUCCACCAAGAGAAAGGUGGUCUGAAAAAUCGUCCCUCGAUCAGCGGUCUUCUUCUACGAUAGAACAAGUCGUGAGUUAGUUUAGUCCAUUGCAACUGGCCUGGGUGCGGUCUGCAAUUUCCACCACCACUUAACGAGCAGGCUGGGUUCAUCGUACUAAUGUCGAGAAUGUCCAGUUCACUGUCCUUGUUCCAGCAAACACUCUGCUAUGAAACUAGACAUCUUUUGCCUAGGGAAGUCAGUCCUCUGGUCCAGAAGAAAUCUCUCUGUACUGCCUCUAUACGCUUGAUUACCCAUUUAGGGGUCGUGAAGACCGAGAGAUAGUAGAGGGGUAGAUUAGAGAGUACUGCAUUUACAAGGAUAAGUCUGCCCCCUCUCGAUAGUAGCUUUCCUUGCCACCCGUCGAUUUUAGUUUGGAUUUACGGAAGAUCCCCCUCGAGUCCUCCUUAGAAGGGGGUCUGAUUGACAGAGGCAAACCCAGAUACUUGGUGGGUAAACUACCGACUUUACAUUUGAGUAAAUGCGCAAUCCAAUUGGCUUUUCUCCCUAUCUGACUGGUGUAAAAAAUUUUCAACUUCUCUCUAUUAAUUCUCAAUCCAGAUGCUCAUUCGAAGAGUUGCCAUAUAAAUUUUAGGUUUCUCAAGCAUCUUUUCUUGGCCUUACAAAAGAAGAAGGUAUCGUCUACAAAUUGUAUAAGGGUAGUCCUGGAUGCCUCUAUGGGACCGAUGCCAGUAAUGAGAUUAUUACCGAGUGCCUCAUUAGUUCCACAACAAGUAGCGGAUCCUCCUGUCAAACACCCAUUUUUGUCUUAAUCCAAUUAGUGGCAUCAUCAUUAAUCAGGACUGCAACCUUGGUGUUGCAAACGUAGAGUUUGAUCCAGUUGCUCCAUUUUUCGUCGAUGCCCCACUAAUCUAAACUGUCAAAAAGGAAAGGCCAAUAAAUUCUAUCGUAUGUCUUUUCGAAGUCCACCUUUACGUCGACUCCCUCAGCACCCGACCUACUUCCCCAGCCUAAAAGCUCACGGACAAUUACAAAUGCAUCAGUGAUGUUUUUCCCCUUCAGGAAAGCCGAUUGGGAAGGGAAUAUUAUGUCACUCAUAACCUGUUCCAACCGAUUAGCUAAAACCUUAGAUAUGAUUUUCUGGAUCCCGUUCAGGAGGCUUAUGGGUCUGAAGUCAUUCGCUCGUUUAGCUCAUUCCUUCUUAGGGAUUCAACAGAUAUAGGUGUAGUCAAUGGGGUCGGUGGACAACCUCCCCUCAAACAUUUCAUGAAAUAGAUUCAAUAAGUCUCCUUGGAGUGUGUCUCAGAAAGUUUGAUAGAAACUUAAUAGGAAACCGUCAAGUCCCAGCACCUUAUCUCUGUCCAAUUGGAAGACUGCUUGUUUAAUUUCAUAUAUACUGAAAGGCCCCGAGAUAUGAGUCAGAGUGUCGGAAAUAAUGUGCCUCGAUCUAAAGAGGCUGCUCUAAUCCCCAAACGAUGUUGUAGCCUAUUCUUCCGGCAUGAAUAGCUCCUGAAACUUCUGGAAUAAGUGGCGCUUUUUAUCCCCUUCAGAAUGGUACACUGUUUCGGCAUCUUCAAGCGUAUCAAUUCUGUUCGUUCUCCUUCUGUCGUUUGCUACCGCAUGAAAGAAUUUAGUAUUGCUAUCUCCUUCUUUUAGCCAGUGUUGCUUCGCUCUGGUCCUCCACACCGCUUCUUCGUCUUUAAGCACCCCUAGUAGUUUAGCCUUAAGCUCCUCCCUUCGCUUAACUAUUUCCAGGAUUAAUUCGCCCUUCUCCUCGUUAUUAUCGAUCUCUUGGAUUUCAUCCAUUAUUAUAUUUUUAGCUGAAUUCAUUUCUUAAAAAUGAACAAAUAUGACACUUUAUUACAUGUCUUAAAAAAAAAAAAAAAAAAAAACACUCUAUGAUUCCAUUUUGUUCUCCAUGGGACAAAUAAAUUGACGAUAAGCACAUAUCAAAUUUGAUCUAAAAUUCUAAUUUUCUAUUUUCUUUCCCUCAUCAUCUGCUCUAAGACAAUUUAGUGUCGAGGGAUAUAAUGCCACAGACUAGAAAAAAAAAUUUGUCUAGAUAUAUAAAUAGUUUGCCAAAAUACUUUCUAAGUAUUGCAUAAUGUAAUUUUUUUUUUACAAUCUCAAACAAAUUAAGCCUUAGAAUUGAUGUAAAAUGUAUAAAGACCUAACAUAUUAGGAAUAUUGUAAAAUCACUCACAUGUUGUAUGCGAUUGGGGUCAUCUUCAGGCGCAUAAAUAUUUAUUGACGAUGAAAUGUGGGCUGGGAGAGACUCAUUCGACUUUGGUGCCAAUUCUGAAGAAAUUACUUUCUCAUCUCCAUUAUUGGAAUUUAAUGCAUGCACUUGCAUCUCUGAACCAUGUACAGUUUUCUGUAUGGCAAAUGAUUGACCAAAUAAUUAAUUUUGUGAAAAAAAGAAUUAAUUCUGAAAAAAAGAGAUAAUGAGAGAAACAAGUACGUCACAAAUAGCUAGGAAUCUUAUAAAAAUAUAAGCAACUAUUACUACUAAGAAAACAAAACUCAGAAUCACGUACACGCCAUAUAGCAAUCACAACUAUCCAUAAAUUAAGUUACCAAAUGCACUAAAUCUUACUUAGAUAUUGGACGGAUUAACUAGUUACUCAUAGUGCUUUCAAAUGGUAAUAAACUAAUAAUUAACUAUGGCCGAAAUAAUAUAAAACAUGCUUAAUUUUAUGUUGUUAGUGUCUUCACACAACAGUAAAUUAUACUGGCCUUAAUUCCUAUGUUAUUUUAGCUUGAGAGAGAACUAUUUCUCACAUAUAAAUUCCUAACAAAAGAUAAUAACAAAAGGGGCGUCAUGAAAAUUACAAUAGAUAAGAGGAGAAAAAAUUAUAAAAGAACUUGGAAUCCAUAGGAGUUCCAACUAUCAAACAUGCAAAACAAAAUAUUGGAAAAAUGUAGAUAAUUUGGUUAGUGAUCUUAAAAUGCGAGAUUCAAUUACCUGUGCCUUUGCUUCGAGUGCAUCAUAACUUUCCAUCACCAAUCUCCCCCUAACUUGAGAGCAAGAGACAAGAGUGAGCCAAAUAAAAGAAAAUGUGAAAAUUUCCAUAUAGGCCAUUGGAUGAAGAUUGAUGUACGUAGAUAAGUGUCCGAACCAGCCCCCUUUAUAUGGAUAGAAAAAUAAAAUUUUCAAUGAUUUUACGGACGACUAAUUAGGUUUUUUUUAAGAGAGAAUAAGGAAGAUUAGUUACUUCAUUUAGAAAGCUUUUAUUUAGAGACCUAUUGUCUUAAUAUGAGGAUAUGUAAUUUUGGAUGGAAUUUAUUUAGAAUUAAUAUCGUGGUCCUAAUAUCACCAUACCUAAAUUUUAGGUUUUUUUUAUAUUAACUGAAUCUAAUCUUCAUUUUAAUGGGUACCAAAGGAUUAUAUGGUAUGAAGGGAUUUGUAUAUCCUAGUAAAGUUUGAGUACAAUGAAUGUGGAUUAAAAGGAUAAAAUAUCAUAAAAUAAUUAAUGUUCAAAUUGUAGUUACUAAGGGGUUGUUGGUUUCCUUCUCCUUGCUCCUGAAAAAGACAUUAGAUAGACCGGAAUAGAGGGAUCAGUCAUCCCAAAAUUAGGAUUCACUAGUGUAGAGACCUGCGCGAUGCAGCUGGUAGAUAAUAAAAACAAAUUUUUAAAUUUUAAAUAAAAUUUAUAUUUACAGCUUAUAGGAAGCUAUACCAUGUUAAGCACAGUCAAUUUGCAUGACUAAAUUCAAUUGUUAAAAAAUAAAAUUAAAGCUAGAAGCAUAUGAAAUACAUAAAUAAUAACUUAACGUUUCUGGCUUAAGAAAAUUUUGGGUAGAGUCUCAGGCUCCAGUCUCCACAUCAUACUUUUUAAUCUACGACAAGAAUUUUGUCCACAACAGUGUUUACUCAAAAAAAUAGUCAUAAGAUGAAAAUAAAACAAAAAACAUCAAUCUUAAAAAAACUAAUACUUUUUUGGAGCACUUCUCUUACUCAUCCAAACCUUAUACAUCUUCUUAAUUUUCAGCUGGUAGUUGCUUCCCGCGCCGAGUCACUUCUGGAUUUCCAUUGUAACCUAUGAACAAACACCUCAUCUACAUCACCAAACUGCGAUAUCUAAACCGACACAGUCUUGCCAUCACAUCAACCACAGAAAUUCUAAUACUUAAACAAUUUGAUUUACCAAAAAGUUCCUGCGAUUCUUGAGAAGCGAGCUCCCGCGCAACGUCCCCGCGAAGAGGAGGCUAGGACGCCGCUCCCCUCGACCCAGUUGUGGGCGCGCGCGAGCCGCGCGAGGAGGCAGCCGAGGUGGCGACGGUUCACGGCGAGCGAGGGCUCCGGCGCAGACCGGCCCACGCAAGCACUUUUAUGGGCCAUGGCUGGACUUUACAGGACGAUACUUCUUGAAGGAGACAGCGUUCUUCGCAUGCUCUUCUUCUUCAUUAUCCUCAUAAUCUUUGUUAACACAAUGAGAUAGAGAGAAGGAGAUGAGUGUGAGGUGAGAGAUUAGAUGAUAAUUUUCUUUUUUGUAUGUAAAAUAACAUGUCAUGCAAAAAAGAGGAGAUGGGGGGAUUAAUGGUGGAGGGGAGUGGAUUGGAGUUACAAAUUAUGCUCACUAAUUGGUUGAAUAUGAUGCAUGUAAUUAAAUGUGGAGAGGUGAAGGGUUGAGCAUUUAGAAGUGGAGAUGAAACGUAAAUUUAAAAAAAUGAGAGCUUGCCAAAUUAUUAUUUCAUAUUGGGGAUUCAUAACAUAUAUCAUGCAAAAGAGGGGGUGGGGGGAUUAAUGGUGGAGGGAAGUUGAUUGAAGUUACAAAUUAAGCUCACUAAUUGAUGGAAUAUGAUGAAUAUAAUUAAAUGUGGAGAGGUUAAGGGUUGAGCAUUUAGAAGUGGAGAUGAAACGUAAAUUAAAAAAAUGAGAGCUUGCCACGUCAUCAUUUCAUAUUGGGGAUUCAUAUAAGAGUAUAGAUUUCUUGUCUCAAAUAUUCACUUGGAGCAUACCAAAUCUUAAUAGAUAGACGUAAUUUUUCUACCGCGUGUACAUUCCCAUAAUGAUGAUCUUUUAACAAUACCAUAUCUCAAUAGAUUGACGUAAUUUUUCUACCGCGUGUACAUUCCCAUAAUGAUAAAGUAUGGAAAUAAAUGUUUUUGAAGAAAAAGUUCUUCAUGGAAAAUCUCUUUUUCAAUUUCCUCCCAUUUGCUUUCAAUAAAAGUAAAUUCUUGAGAAUUUUUUUAAAAAAUUUCAUGAAAAAUUACUAUUUUUUAAAUUUUUUUUAGAAAAACAAGAAUGCUAGUUUUCUAUAAAAUCUGAAAAAAAAAAUUAUAAAGACUAAUUUUUCUUGAAACCAAAUUGCCAAAAAACUUAAAAUUAGUUUUCAUUUCUCAAAAAAAUUUAUCCACGCUUUUUUGAGAAACCAAAUAGCCCCUAAGCAAUUUUAAAACAAUAUACCAUAACGAGAACUAGAGACAGAGAGAUAGUGUUAAUAGCAACCAUAGAUAUGUAACGUCCCAAUAGUUCCACAUUAGAAGAAUACUGAUUUCGAUCAGUUUAUAUGAGGCCUACAUGCUAGUAAUAAUAACUGAGCUAAAACAUUUUGGACUAGUGGUUUGGACCCAACGAGUUAUUGUUGCUAACGGGUCGGGUCGUUAAAAUUAAAAGUUGAAUUUAGUUUUGCUUCAUUUGCACUUCUUUAAAU
This 19914-nucleotide long non-coding RNA is filed under the name Ananas comosus (pineapple). Its description in RNAcentral is "long non-coding RNA (ACOM_LNC004333)". Lineage: Eukaryota; Viridiplantae; Streptophyta; Magnoliopsida; Poales; Bromeliaceae. The record is from RNAcentral.